GAUGAACGCUCGCCCCUUUCCUCCUCCAUUCACUUCUAUCUCACUUACGAGAAGCUUUCUUCUCUGCUGUUAGCGGCGGACGGGUGAGUAACACGUGGAUAACCUACCUAUAAGACUGGGAUAACUUCUUUAAACCGGAGCUAAUACCUUAUAAUAUUUUGAACCGCAUGAUUCAAAAGUGAAAGACGGUCUUGCUGUCACUUAUAGAUGGAUCCGCGCUGCAUUAGCUAGUUGGUAAGGUAACGGCUUACCCCGGCAACGAUGCAUAGCCGACCUGAGAGGGUGAUGCGCCACCAUGGAACUGAGCAACGGUCCAGACUCAUACGGGAGGCAGCAGUAGGGAAUCUUCCGCAAUGGGCGAAAGCCUGACGGAGCAACGCCGCGUGAGUGAUGAAGGUCUUCGGAUCGUAAAAAGAGGGGAUUAGGGAAGAACAUAUGUGUAAGUAACUGUGCACAUCUUGACGGUACCUAAUCAGAAAGCAAAGGAUAAAUACGGG
Molecule: ribosomal RNA, 497 nt
Filed under: uncultured bacterium
Lineage: Bacteria
Description: partial 16S ribosomal RNA
Rfam family: Bacterial small subunit ribosomal RNA
Source: RNAcentral